Cottoperca gobio is the source of this 361-nucleotide long non-coding RNA. RefSeq lists it as uncharacterized. Lineage: Eukaryota; Metazoa; Chordata; Actinopteri; Perciformes; Bovichtidae. The transcript is spliced from 3 exons. The record is from RefSeq and is a predicted model, not a curated record.
UGGUGGGGACCGGAGGAGACUCUGCUGCUGCCUGUCCGUCUUCUCUUCAGUUUGCAGACUUGCUACUACUGCUUUGUUGUCGGAGGUCACUCAGUCCCACCAGCGCACAGCUCACAGCGCACUCAGGACCCGCACAGACCCGCACUGACCCGCACUGCUCUCCGCAGACAACACUUCUCUCCGCAGUUUAAUUUAAAACACAACAAAACAAAUCCAGCAUCAUGGGGAAAGGCUGCCUGACAGCGACCAAGUAUUUCCUGUUUCUCUUCAACCUCAUCUUCUUUUUGUGCGGGGUGGUCAUCAUGGGCUUUGGACUGUGGCUCCUGCUGGACAAUCAGAGCUUCAUCGUCAUCCUCAGUGA